Molecule: ribosomal RNA, 464 nt
Filed under: Capnocytophaga gingivalis
Lineage: Bacteria; Pseudomonadati; Bacteroidota; Flavobacteriia; Flavobacteriales; Flavobacteriaceae
Description: bacterial SSU rRNA
Rfam family: Bacterial small subunit ribosomal RNA
Source: RNAcentral
GAUGAACGCUAGCGGCAGGCCUAACACAUGCAAGUCGAGGGAGAAGCCCUUCGGGGCAGAAACCGGCGCACGGGUGCGUAACGCGUAUGCAACCUACCUUUCACAGGGGGAUAGCCCGAAGAAAUUUGGAUUAAUACCCCAUAAUAUUGUUGGAUGGCAUCAUCUGGCAAUUAAAACUGAGGUGGUGAGAGAUGGGCAUGCGUCCUAUUAGCUAGUUGGAGUGGUAACGGCACCCCAAGGCUACGAUAGGUAGGGGUCCUGAGAGGGAGAUCCCCCACACUGGUACUGAGACAGGGACCAGACUCCUACGGGAGGCAGCAGUGAGGAAUAUUGGUCAAUGGUCGGAAGACUGAACCAGCCAUGCCGCGUGCAGGAAGAAUGCCUUAUGGGUUGUAAACUGCUUUUAUAUGGGAAGAAUAAGGUGUACGUGUACAUUGAUGACGGUACCAUAUGAUAAGCUCGCA